This 751-nucleotide ribosomal RNA is filed under the name uncultured archaeon. Its description in RNAcentral is "bacterial SSU rRNA". It matches the Rfam family "Archaeal small subunit ribosomal RNA", at positions 92 to 847 of the family's 1478-position model. The record is from RNAcentral.
AGUAACACGUCGUUAAGCUAACCUUUUCUCUGGGAUAAUCUCGGGAAACUGAGUGUAAACCCGGAUAGGGGAUUGGUGCUGGAAUGCUCUUUCCCUGAAAAGCAAUGGAAAAGGAUGCGACGGCGGCCGAUUAGGUUGUUGGUGGGGUAAAGGCCCACCAAGCCCAUGAUCGGUAGGGGCCUUGAGAGAGGUAGCCCCGAGAAGGGCACUGAGACACUGGCCCUAGCCCUACGGGGUGCAGCAGGCGCGAAAUCUCUACACUACGCGAAAGCGUGAUAGGGGAAUCCUAAGUGCUUAUGCUUUGCAUAGGCUUUUGCCAAGGGUAAAUACCUUGGAGAAUAAGUGGUGGGCAAGACCGGUGCCAGCCGCCGCGGUAACCCCGGCGCCACAAGUGGUGAUCGUGAUUAUUGGGUCUAAAGCGUUCGUAGCCGGCCCAAGCAAUCUCUUGUGAAAUCGUCAGGCUUAACCUGACGGCGUGCAGGAGACACUGCCGGGCUAGGGACUGGGAAGAGUCAGAGGUAUGGCCAGGGGAGCAGUAAAAUGCGAUAAUCCUGGUUAGACCACCAAUGGCGAAGGCAUCUGACCAGAACAGAUCCGACGGUGAGGGACGAAAGCUGGGGGAGCGAUCCGGAUUAGAUACCCGAGUAGUCCCAGCUGUAAACGCUGCGAGCCAGGUGUUGCACAUUCCUAGUGAAUGUGCAGUAUCGGAACGAAGGUGUUAAGCUUGCCACCUGGGGAGUACGGUCGCAAG